UGAUCUUCAAGUGUAAGAUAC
RNAcentral lists this non-coding RNA (21 nucleotides) under Arabidopsis thaliana (thale cress). The record is from RNAcentral. Lineage: Eukaryota; Viridiplantae; Streptophyta; Magnoliopsida; Brassicales; Brassicaceae.